AAAAUUUGUGUCGUGUUCGACUGCUCUGCAAGGUUUCAAGGGACAUCCUUGAAUGAUCAUCUGCUGACUGGCCCAGAGCUGACAAACACCUUGGUUGGUGUCUUGUGUCGUUUCCGCAGAGGUCCUGUGGCGAUAAUGUGUGACAUAGAACACAUGUUCCACCAGUUUCAUGUGAAUGCAGAUGACCAAGACUACCUACGUUUCCUAUGGUGGGAAAAUGGAAACCUUGAUGCCCAGCCUUCCAUCUAUCGGAUGAAAGUGCAUUUGUUUGGUGCAGCUUCCUCACCUGGUUGCGCCAACUAUGGACUAAAGCACCUUGCUGCUGAAGGACUAGGACGUUUCGGUGAAGACACCAUCAAGUUCAUUCAGACCAACUUCUAUCUUGAUGAUGGCUUGUCAAGUGUAGCAACCGAAAGCCAAGCAAUACAGCUGGUGAAGGAAGCAAGAGAGCUCUGCAGUAUGGGUAAACUUCGGCUUCACAAGUUCAUCUCCAACAACAAGGAAGUUCUGGCCACUAUUCCCAAGGAAGAAUGCGCUGUAGCUCCCAAAGACCUAGAUAUGGCACUCAGUGAACUACACAUAGAGAGAGCACUUGGUGUACAGUGGUGUGUAGCGUCAGACGAGUUCCAGUUCAGGGUGGUUGUCAAGGAAAGUCCACUUACCCGAAGAGGAGUCUUGUCUACAGUCGCUUCUGUGUUCGAUCCACUGGGAUUUGUGGCACCCUUUGUCCUGUUGGGAAAGCAGAUAUUGCAGCAGAUGUGUCGUGACAAGCUCAGUUGGGAUGAUACCUUACCUGAUGACCUUCGACCUCUGUGGGAGUCUUGGCUUCAUGACUUGCCAAACUUGGCUGGUGUAAGGAUCCAGAGAUGCUACACACCACCAAGCUUCAAGGUCCAGCACUAUGAGCGCCAUCAUUUCUCUGACGCCAGUGUGUCCGGCUAUGGAGAGUGCUCUUACCUCAGGGCAGUCAGCACAUCAGGUGAAGUCCACUGCUCCUUAGUCAUGGGAAGAUCAAGGGUUGCACCCACUAAGAUCACAACUAUACCACGACUUGAGCUGUCAGCAGCGGUAGUAGCUGUCCGCACCAGUGACAUGCUAAAGAAGGAACUGGAAGUUGACUUAUCACGAGAAAUCUUCUGGACUGAUUCCAAGGUUGUACUUGGAUACAUAAAUAAUGAAGCCAGAAGAUUUCAUGUGUUCGUAGCAAACCGCGUGGAGCGCAUCAAGCAAAGCACAGAGUCUGCACAAUGGAGGUAUGUAGCCUCUGAAGACAAUCCAGCAGACCAUGCCUCAAGAGGUCUCACAGCUGGGCAGCUCAUAGCUUCAAACUGGCUCACAGGCCCAGACCUUCUCUGGCAAAAGGACCUACCAAGUCAAGUAGUCAAGGUGGGAGAGAUCUCAAGCAAUGAUCCAGAGCUCAAGAAGGCCCAGGUUCAUGACACUCAUGCUAAAGAGGUGAGGUCGCUGUUAGAUCGUCUCCACAAGUUCUCCGACUGGAUGAGAAUGGUGAAAGCUAUCGCCAGACUCAAGCGCCUCGCCAAGGAAAAAAAGGGCCUUAAACCAAGGUCCUGUGAAGCCAGCAGCUUAGAAGAAAGGAGGGAAGCAGAGCUGGUCAUUAUCAAGAUGGUUCAAGAAGCAGCCUUCUCUCAAGAGAUACACUGCCUCCAGCGUCAUAAAGAGAUGCAAAUCAAAGAUAAGACCAAGUUGCACAAGUUAUGUCCAUUCCUUGAUGAUCAGGGUAUCCUUCGAGUGGGAGGCCGCUUAACUCAUGCUGCUCUACAUCCACAUGUGACGCAUUCAGCAGUGCUCCCAAGAGACAGUCACAUAUCAGUAUUACUUGUCAAGCAUUAUCAUGAGAAAGUCCAUCAUCAGGGACGAGGAAUGACUAUGAAUGAGCUCCGUUCCAGUGGCGUAUGGAUCCUUGGAUGCAGCAGGGCAGUAUCAUCUCAUAUCUACAAGUGUACAAAGUGCAGGAAGUUCAGAAGAUGUACAGAACAGCAAAGGAUGGCAGACCUCCCACAAGAACGAGUGGAGACAACCCCACCAUUCACUUACUGCGGGAUGGACUGCUUUGGACCAUUCUACGUCAAGGAAGGAAGAAAAGAGUUAAAGCGGUAUGGGGUGUUGCUUACCUGCAUGUGUUCCAGAGCAAUACACAUUGUAAUGCUCGAUGACUUGACUACGGAUGCCUUUAUUAACACUCUGCGUUCAUUCAUUGCUAUUCGAGGGGCAGUACGUCAGUUAAGAUGUGAUCAAGGGACGAACUUCGUUGGUGCUAAACAUGAGUUUGUUAUAGCAUUAAAAGAGAUGGAUCAAGAGGAGCUCAAGGAACUGGGAUGUGACCGCACCAUCAGAAGUGUUUUGAUGUCGAUUCUAGAACGGUCAACCAAACAACUUGACUGCUCCUCUCUACGAACAUUCCUAUAUGAGGUCAUGGCAGUAGUGAACAGCAGACCUCUGACCACUGAUCACCUAAGUGACUCAUCAAGUCCAGAGCCCCUGACACCAAACCACAUACUGACUAUGAAAUCCACGAUUAUCUCCCCACCUCCAGGAAAGUUUGUCAAGGAAGAUCUGUACCUCCGCAAGACAUGGCGCCGAGUUCAGCUUCUUGCAAACACCUUCUGGACACGGUGGAAAAAGGAGUGCCUCCUAAAUCUCCAACACAGACAAAAGUGGAUCAAGGAUCGCAGAAAUGCUAAAAUCAAUGACAUUGUUCUCCUUCAGGAUGAUGCUGCACCACGAAACCAUUGGAAGUUGGCAAAGGUCAUUGAAGUGUACCCAGGAAAGGACGGACGAGUGAGGAAACUCAAGUUGCUCAUGAGCGAUUCAACUCUGGAUGGGAAGGGAAGGCGCAUCUCAAAACCUGUUCACCUGGAGAGGCCCAUUCAGAAGACAGUUACACUAUUGGAAGCAGACUGAAGUCUUUGGUAUCUUAAAACUCACUCUCUGCCAUUCUAACAGUUGGUUCAUUAAUCAAAUUGUUUCAGUUAAUUAAUGUUUAUAUGCAGUAUGUUUGUCUUUCUAAGUCGCGCCAAGAAAUCACUAAUGAUUGGUGGGAGUGUAACUGCCUCCCAUCGGCAGUUUAAUUUCUAGCUGUCUGUCAUGCCUUUUCUUUGGUUCCUACCUUUAGUAAUUGUAAUUUGAUAGGCGGAACUAAUUACUGCCGCACUUGUGUUCCACCCGUAUUGUAAUUAAUGAAACACCUGGCAUCCGAAGCGCCAGAAAAGACGGCAGAAAAAGUAAACAGCUACAGCUAAGCUAAGUAAUAAAAGAGUAAACAGAUAAAACAUGAAGAAAGAAGACAACGAGAAGAAUAAAUAAGGAAGAUUAGUCCCUCAUAAGAGAAAGGCAGCCUACGAGCAACUAAAUCAUUAUGCACCACAGUAAAAGAGCCUAAACUCAACUGAUGGUUGACAUGUGUUCUCUGACCGGAACCCUGUUGUGGCCAACUUCUCCACACAUAAGUUUCAGAGGUCUAAUCCUCAACAAAGGUCCCUCCAGCAAGAUCAAUUGGCUGCUGCAGAAGAUGUCAUCAGAAGAGCAGUCAGCAUCUCUACCUCAUCCUGAGAUUCAAGACCAAUCAGCGAGGCGUCACUGCACCCCCAGAUGUCUUGAAGACUACAUCCUUGCCUACAAUCCUCGGCAACCUGCCCUUACCGCAUUUCUGCCAGGAGCUGCUGGAACACAUCUCUUCCUUCCUAGUGGAAGAAGAGGUAGAUGAGGAUAAUCACAAUAGGAAGGACGCUACACCUCCACCCACAAAAUCACCUUCGGCACUUUGCCCUCAUCUUACCAAACCAUUCUACGGCUGGUUGUACGGCUACAACCCACACCUAUGAGCCCAGGGCUGUGUCCUACAGCUAUCUGCAUGCAUCGCAGUAUCAUCAGCCACACGUGAUGGCUCCUUCAAAUUACGGCCUGCCUCAUUAUGCUUUUGCGCCUACAGUAAUAGCGCCCCUUCAGCAUUGAUCAUCUGCUCCAGUGGUGGAAGAUUUAUUCUCAACUGUUCAGUCGCAACUGCAAUUAAGUUAGACUGUAGCCCCACUUAGCUUUGGUCUGCCAAUUUGCCCCAGCAUAUGGUGUGCCGAAACCCAAAAUCCACAGAUAGUUAAAGGGAGUUUGCUAACUUGAGGCUUUAGACAACCUGCUUGAGCCUCUUGUGGAUCUGACUGAGAAGUACAAAUAUCAUGUGCUACUUGAGCACCUCAAACUGCCUGAAGCACAGAUGAUAGACCAGUCCUGAUGCCACCAUCCAUACCCAUACACAACUAUGCAGGCCUUACAGCUCCAGUAUGGUCAGCCACACCAGCUGGCACAAAGUGAAAUAACAGCCAUUUAUCCACACCUGAUGUUAAGCCUGGUGAUGCACGUACCUUUCAGAGCUUCGCACUACGGGUCAGCCUCCUGAUGAGUAUGCUGCUCUCCUUAGAGGGACCUGGGAGUAUGGAGUUCAACUGCUGCUCUCAUGUACGUACUCAGUAAGCUACCCAAGUACCACAGAGAUGGGUUCAUUGAGUAUCUACAGCUACAAGGCGAGCUCAGCAGCACAAGCCUCAACCCCUACAACCUGCAGGGCUUGAAUGGAUGGCUUCAAGGUAAAGCCCAGAAACAGCGCCUGUCCAGCAGACUGGUGCAAUGCUACCAACAGAGAAACCUCAAGGUAAUGGUAAGGAGAAGAUCCUAGUCCAGAGCAACAAUCAAAGUGCAGCUGUAUAUCAUGGUGCAGAGCCCACUUAACCGAACACCUCUGGUAAACCCACACCAUCAAAUAACAAGAAACCAUUCAAAAUACAUUGCCUGUGCUGCGACAAGAGCACUGUAUCAGUUGCUGUCCCAGUGUUAAAGGGCAGUCAGUGGCAGACCUGGACAAGUGCAUAACAGAAGGAAAUGUGCAUGUGAAUGGUGAAUGUGAGAAUCUUGCCCUUCGCACUGUGCGGACAGACAUUACACACCUCAGGGGCUCCAAGAUCAGCUUUGAAAUCUCUUCCAAAAGUAACCCACAGAGACACUACAAAGUACAGGGAGCAUUUACUGCUUCAGGUCUAGACCUGAUGGAACAGUACAGAUGCUACGAAGACGAUAAAUUCACUUAUGCAGGGUCCCAUUGUUGCCAUUCUUCAACGCGUGCCCGCUGAUGUUGCUUUGGUCGGAUCAUGUACGCCUUAUCACUGCCACUAAGCCAAUACGCAAAGGAACAAGUGGAGAACCUAUAGCCAUCCAUACUGCCCUUGGGUGGACCUUGUAGGGGCUAAAGUCGGUCUGCCAGCACAGACUUCAGUGCAGCAGUGCCUCUUUACGUCAGUUGCUAACCCUGAACAUCUCCUCUACAGGAAAAUCGAAAGAUUAUGGCAACUAGACAUCCUGCCAUUUCGAAAUGAGAAAAUGGUUGGUCGUUCUCAUGAAGAUCAGAAAGCCAUGAGCCUUCUGGAGACCAAAACCUCAUCAUGUUGACAUAGAGGGAGUCUAGCGUUAUGCAACCCCCCUUGAGGAAGACAGGAGCACCUAAACUUAAUAGUUCCACGCAUUCUGUCAUAGCUCACCUGAGGGCCACCGAGAAGUGGCUCAGGAAGGAUCUGGAAAAGGCAGCUGUCUACUCAACUGAGAUUGACAAACUUAUCAAGGCUGGAUACGUCAAGAAACUUCUACCUAGAGAGGUUGAUCAGUCUGCAGAGUCAUGGUAUCUCCCUCAUCAUCUGGUGUGACAUAACAAGUCACGGCUGGUAUUCAACAGCUCAUUCAGGCACCAGGGCAUCUCUAUGAAUGACCAGCUCCUACCUGGACCCACACUGGACCCACUGCUGCUAGGUGUUCUUCUAUGGUUUGGACAGCAUCAGGUUGCAGUGAGUGGAGAUAUCUGCGCAAUGUUUCACCAGGUCUGCCUUCUGCCUGGUUAAUUUGGAGGGAUCUGCACUGUGAAGACCCACCAGAUGUGUAUGAAUGAAGUAGUCUAUGUUGCCAUCUUUGCCUUGCAGCAACCACCAAGAAAGCCAUCCUGAUACACUACAGUCGGUGCUGCAGGGUUUCUAUGUCGACAAUUGCCUUGAGAGCUUCCCCACCAUAAGUGCAGCCACGCAGAGAGAAAACCAGCUGAGUACACUGUUGGCUGAAGCAGGGUUCGAUCUAAGACAGUGGGCGAGUAAUCAAACAACUGUGAUUGCUCACCUUCCCACUGAUGCAAGAUCUUCAGCUACAGAGCAGUGGCUUAACCAAAGCCGAACUGACCCACUUGAGCCUACCUUAGGCCUUAGGUGGAACUGUGCUGCCGAUACUUUUGGCUAUCAAUGCCGGCUCAUUGAGCAUGCAGCUCUGACUGUGAGGACAGCAUAUCAAGUAAUUGGCCAGCCAGUAUGAUCCUUUGGGGUUUAUUGUACCAUGUACAACACGUGCCAAGGUGCUCAUUCAGCAGCUCUGGUCCAAACAGUGAAGCUGGGAUGACCCCAACUUACCUCCAACCUUACGACAAGCCUGGGAAGCCUGGGAGAGUGAGCUGCAACACCUUGACAGAGUAUUCAUCCCCCACUGUUAUCUGUUAUUCACCAGUCUCUGUAGAGGGCGCAGAUCCAGAGUAUGAACUGCAUGCCUUCUGCGACACCUCCAAAUGAGUAUAUGUGGCAGUGGCCUACCUCACAGGGCAAGUAGGAGACACCAUUCACAUCACCUUUGUAGCGAACAGUCUAUGCCCGCCUCGAGCUCUGCGCUGCAUUGUCUGGAGCUCAACUGGCCAAACUCAUAGAGACUGAGAUGAUGCUCACCAUCAGGCAGACAACCUUGUGGUCUGACUCCACCACAGUACUGGAGUGGCUCCAAUCAGACUCCUGUAGAUAGUCAAGGUCUUUGUUGGAACCUGUGUGUCAGAGACACAGGGGCUGACUGACCGUCAGGCUUGGCGAUACGUGGACACCCACAGUAAUCCAGCAGAUGACAUAACUAGGGGGAAGUCACUCUUGGAUUUAGCAGGGCUUGGUCGUUGGAGCCAAGGGCCCUAGUUCUUAAAGCAGAGUGCUGAACGCUGGCCAAAGAAGCCAGAGCAGGCAACAUCAGUGAGCACUUCAGCGUUGAAAGGCAUCACCUUCUGCUACUUCAAGGUAGUACAGUCUGACCAUGUCUGGCCAGCCUUGCUCCAGAAUGGGACUCUUCAACAUGACUGCUCUGGGUUGGAAGGAGGCUUUGAAGGCUGUAGAACCCAAUCAUAGUAGUAGCAGGAGGAUGUUUCAGAAUAGUUAGUGUGUCUGUAUAGUGGCUCGGAGAUUUUUCAUUCAACCAUACCAGUUUGACCCAUAAUGGGACCCAGAAGGAGAGGCUCCUGAAGAAGUACAGAC
Molecule: RNA transcript, 7322 nt
Organism: Acanthopagrus latus (yellowfin seabream)
Lineage: Eukaryota; Metazoa; Chordata; Actinopteri; Spariformes; Sparidae
Exons: 2
Source: RefSeq, a predicted model, not a curated record